This is a long non-coding RNA of Musa acuminata AAA Group (dessert banana), 1949 nucleotides long. RefSeq lists it as uncharacterized. The transcript is spliced from 6 exons. NCBI's taxonomy places the organism in Eukaryota, Viridiplantae, Streptophyta, Magnoliopsida, Zingiberales, Musaceae. The record is from RefSeq and is a predicted model, not a curated record.
GGGGGGCAGUGUGCGGGCGCCGGGAGGAAUCCCGGGCAGCCGAGAGGACGGGACGGGUAGCUGCCCGUGCUGCCCGUGAUGGGCGUCUCCGCUCUAUAAAUCGCAGUAUUGUGCUGUGGAACGCAGUUUGCCGAUUUGGCUCCUCGCUCUUGUUUAAGAUCUGAAGAAACCUUAAAGAAACUAAAAAAGAUGGCAUCCAACUUCGUGGCCAAUGGCGAUGAGAUCAACGAGCAGCACCACGACUACCACCAUCACCACGGCCACCACCACCAGGCGCCGUCGCCGCGUGGUCAGGGGCCGUCACCGCGCGGGGUUCGGCGGGCGUUGUCCUCGAACUCAGCGGCCUGCGGCCAGGGCGCCGCCGGCGGGUCGAUCCCCAAGUGCGUGUGUGCUCCCGCCACCCAUGCGGGUUCCUUCAAGUGCCGCCUCCACAGGACGAACUCCCACGGCCACUCGCCGCCCUCCCCAACCUCGAUCCCUCCUCCUCCGGCACCCGUGAACUCAUCCCGCACCCCUACCGUGGAAGCUCAGUGACCACAAAGAGGAUCGGCGAUUCCCGAUGGCUUUGGAGAGAUUCUUAAUUUGGUAUCUUUGUUGUCUCAUCCACCCAACCCUAUUCUUCCGCUGCUUCCCCCUUUUUAUGUAUGGAGGUGAGAGAGAGAGAGAGAGAGAGAGAGAGUUCUGUGUGUUCUUGGGGUGUACUAGUUGUUCUUGUAAAUAUGAUCUGUUUCUAUGAUCUAAAGCCAAAAAAAAAGAAAGAUAAAAAGGUGGUGUUGUGAUCUGUGCUUGCUUGAUCUGAUCACAGCCAAGAAUUGGGUUCACAAAGCUACUGUAAGAAAUCAAGGAAUUAUUGUGUGUUUUUUGCAUCCAAGCAACAGGAUUGCUUUCAGUGACGAAGAUGAUUGUCUCCAGCAUGUUAAUGAAUUGCCUGUAUUCUGAUCAAGCAAUUGGCUGCUGGUGAUUGGAGUCAUCCACGGCCUACCCAAUUUUACCCAGGGAUGGGUUGUUGUCAUCAAGAAGCCCCGAGAAACCUGUGAAACUAUCCACAACGAAUCUUCCUGAUCAAAAGUUGCAACUCCUACAGAUCCACAGUGCAAAAGGAGGAGGAAAAGUGGCCCGAGCCCUUUGAUUGCCUGUCUUCACGGGAUGCCAAUGCCUCAUCAAGUGGAAAAGCUUACAACAGCCAAGCCUUUCCGUCAGCGGUGGGUUGUUUCUGCUGCUCCUCCUCCUCAGACAGAUUGUCUUCAUGCAGCCAGCUCCUGGGAGACAUGCAUGCAGCAAGGAGUGAGGAGGCCUGCCCAUGGGCCUCCUUAAACUGAUGUACAGUAUAUCAUAUACAUCGACUCUCGUAACUUGAAAUUAUGUUCUCAUUAAACUGCAGGCUACAUGACCCUCUACUUGUGAUCUUUCUCAAAUCUCCUGCAAACGAGGACCCAAAGUCAAACCAAUCGUGGCUCGGUGGGAGGUCGACGUCGUUGGACGUGUAGUGCGCGGCUGGACUGGUGGGUCUCACCCACUUGGCCGCACAUGUUCGUUCCAUUUUUCCCUUGAGGUCGCGCCCAUCAUCCGCAUCACAAACCUUGGAGGGUCUUGUCAUGUUCGGAAUCCUAGAACGUAAAGCAUUGCAUUGCAAAUUUGGUGUUUCAAGUGGAACUUGUGAAAUAGGAGGCCAUUUCCAUAUGAAAGAAUAAAGGAUGCAAGGAGAGAAGGAAGUUCGAAGGAUGCUAAAGAUUUGUACGAGGAAUGCAGCAUAUGCUUUAUGAAGAUUCCUCUUAGUUUGUGCGUGUGUCGUUUGAAUUCGGAUUGGCUACCAUAGUGGAGUGAAGGGAUGAUAAGUAAGACUAAUUACUCUCUUCUGGUAUCAAAAGUCAAGUUGCUAAGAUUUUAUCAUUGCACUAGAGAUUACCAAAGAGGUACGAGGAAUAAAUAUAUGAUAUCUUGUGCCUAAA